UGCUGGUCAAACCGGUGGUGGU
RNAcentral lists this unclassified non-coding RNA (22 nucleotides) under Chlamydomonas reinhardtii. RNAcentral's name for it is "small RNA Cre_3197". Lineage: Eukaryota; Viridiplantae; Chlorophyta; Chlorophyceae; Chlamydomonadales; Chlamydomonadaceae. The record is from RNAcentral.